UACAGAGGGUGCGAGCGUUGUCCGGAAUCACUGGGCGUAAAGGGCGCGUAGGUGGCGACCCAAGUCGAUGGUGAAAGCUCGCCGCUCAACGGCGAGUCGGCCACCGAUACUGGGUUGCUGGAGCACUGUAGAGGCUCAUGGAAUUCCGGGUGUAGCGGUGGAAUGCGUGAGAGAGUCCGGAAGAACACCGGUGGCGAAGGCGGUGAGCUGGGCAGUUGCUGACACUGAGGCGCGACAGCGUGGGAGCAAACAGGG
RNAcentral lists this ribosomal RNA (255 nucleotides) under uncultured bacterium. Its description in RNAcentral is "partial 16S ribosomal RNA". It matches the Rfam family "Bacterial small subunit ribosomal RNA", at positions 524 to 777 of the family's 1533-position model. The record is from RNAcentral.